Molecule: long non-coding RNA, 476 nt
Filed under: Androctonus crassicauda
Lineage: Eukaryota; Metazoa; Arthropoda; Arachnida; Scorpiones; Buthidae
Source: RNAcentral
AGUCCAGCCCCAGACCUUACAAGGACUCUAAACCCUCACCCCACCCUCCAUGCCAGCCUUGGUUAGGGUUGGCUGUGAAUCUCAUGCCAGAGUUAUUCCUGUAGGCUGCUAGGGGUAGGCCUUCUUAGCCUGCCCUCACACUUCAGUCUUGGCUUCAGAGUCCUCCUUGUCACCCUCCUGCCUCACUGACGGCUGCUCUUUCACAGAGAAGGCACCAAGUCCAAGUUCUGUAACUACUGAUUGAGUCUUCACUGCAGUGUGGCCCUGUGCCGGAGCACGUGUGGAUGGGGGCAUGGGAGAGGUACACGUGUCUGCAGGAGCUGGUGUGGCGAUGAAAGGCGACUGUCACCACAGCACCAGGCCCUGACAGUAUUCCAGUUCUCUUUGCAGCUUCAAGAAUCAGGUGACAGCAGAUUUUUCUCAAGGUUGCAGUGUUCUCCUUGUGCCAGGCAACUCCUACAGCAGAUAGCUAGGCC